GUGGGGAAUUUUGGACAAUGGGCGCAAGCCUGAUCCAGCAAUGCCGCGUGUGUGAAGAAGGCCUUCGGGUUGUAAACUGCUUUUGUACGGAACGAAACGGUCCGGGUUAAUACCCUGGGCUAAUGACGGUACCGUAAGAAUAAGCACCGGCUAACUACGUGCCAGCAGCCGCGGUAAUACGUAGGGUGCAAGCGUUAAUCGGAAUUACUGGGCGUAAAGCGUGCGCAGGCGGUUUUGUAAGACAGGCGUGAAAUCCCCGGGCUCAACCUGGGAAUUGCGCUUGUGACUGCAAGGCUGGAGUGCGGCAGAGGGGGAUGGAAUUCCGCGUGUAGCAGUGAAAUGCGUAGAUAUGCGGAGGAACACCGAUGGCGAAGGCAAUCCCCUGGGCCUGCACUGACGCUCAUGCACGAAAGCGUGGGGAGCAAACAGGAUUAGAUACCCGUGUAGUCC
RNAcentral lists this ribosomal RNA (450 nucleotides) under uncultured bacterium. Its description in RNAcentral is "bacterial SSU rRNA". It matches the Rfam family "Bacterial small subunit ribosomal RNA", at positions 354 to 796 of the family's 1533-position model. The record is from RNAcentral.